GUUCAUAAGCACAUACACUAAAAUUGGAGCAAGAGAGAAUAUUAGCAUUGGCAUGGCCCCUGCGCAAGGAUGGCAUGUAAAUUCAUAAGUGCUCCAUAUUUUU
RNAcentral lists this small nuclear RNA (103 nucleotides) under Dasypus novemcinctus (nine-banded armadillo). The record is from RNAcentral. Lineage: Eukaryota; Metazoa; Chordata; Mammalia; Cingulata; Dasypodidae.